Molecule: small nucleolar RNA, 80 nt
Filed under: Tupaia belangeri (northern tree shrew)
Lineage: Eukaryota; Metazoa; Chordata; Mammalia; Scandentia; Tupaiidae
Description: Small nucleolar RNA SNORA5 (ENSTBEG00000020523.1)
Rfam family: Small nucleolar RNA SNORA5
About the family: ACA5 is a member of the H/ACA class of snoRNA that guide the sites of modification of uridines to pseudouridines.
Source: RNAcentral
UGCGGUCUAGUCGCAUGGAGCCCCAUUCCUGCCGUGGUGGGUGCUGGCCAGAUGACUGCCACAGCAAGCUCCACAAUUCA